RNAcentral lists this microRNA precursor (67 nucleotides) under Bombyx mori (domestic silkworm). RNAcentral describes it as "mir-2774 microRNA precursor family". It matches the Rfam family "mir-2774 microRNA precursor family". The record is from Rfam by way of RNAcentral. Lineage: Eukaryota; Metazoa; Arthropoda; Insecta; Lepidoptera; Bombycidae.
CGAACAUUCGGACCCUCGGUCUACCGAGCAAUAUUACCCGCUCGGUUAAAGACCUUCCUUUUGUAGU